UCUCUGACAGUUCUCUCUGACAGUUCUCUCUGACUGUCUCUCUGACUGUCUCUCUGCUUGUUCUCUCUGACAGUUCUCUCUGGCCGUCUCAAUGUGUGUUCAUGUUUGCAUGUGUGUGUGUCGACAACACCAAAUGGGUAGGGAGUGUGUAUCAUAGUGAGUUGUGUGGUGGUUCUAUCCAGAGAGAGAGAGGGAGCAGAUUGAAGGUUGUGUCUGUAUGAAAGACAGUCCUCAUCAUUAGCAAUACCUGGUGCCUUUCUGUGGGGUUUACCUGUGUGUGGGUGGGUGGGUUGGUGUGUGUGUGUGUGUGUGUGAGAGAGAGAGAUAUCUGUGUAGUUUAGUGUACAACCAGUGGUGUCAUACAGUUUGAUGGAAGUUGAUAUCAGAUUGUAUUCUUGAUAAGAGACGUUGUCAUCUGUCUGUAGGCCAGAUAUUGUUGUUCAGUUGAAGAUUCAGAGGUUAGCCUGGUUAGCCUGGUUUGGGCUAUCCCGGCAUGUCCUUGGUAUGACUGAGAGGCAAGGAGUGGCAUGAUGGCACAAACAGACUGGUACCCAGGCUAUAUGUCUUUAACCCUGUUGUCCUGUUAGCAGAGGGACUAGACACCUGUCUGUUUGUAAGGUGAUCACAUCCUACCGAAGGCUGUGGCAUGAUGUUUCGUCCACCGGUUAUUGUCAUGGAAAAAGACUGUCGGUCUCAUUAACCGUUAAUUAACAUGAAUACAUUUAGCAUCUCUAGGCCUCCGAACAAGCCGCUGAUGCGCGCCUUCGGGACAUCUACAUUUCAAAGUCUAAUAAAUUAAUGUCAUAUACACCAUCACAAUAAAGCCAUUGUUUAUUUUAA
Oncorhynchus gorbuscha (pink salmon) is the source of this 840-nucleotide long non-coding RNA. RefSeq lists it as uncharacterized. Lineage: Eukaryota; Metazoa; Chordata; Actinopteri; Salmoniformes; Salmonidae. The transcript has 2 exons. The record is from RefSeq and is a predicted model, not a curated record.